GUAAUUAGAGUUUAAUUGUUGGUACUUUUGUUUAAACUGGAUCAUGUAUUUGAAUAUUAAGAAGUUUUUCUGAAUGAUGAUCAAUCAAUUUUGUGGGUCAAAAAAAAAAAAAAAAUUUUGGGUCAAACUUUCACUUGGUUACAAUUAAUUUAGUUAAUAUAUUAUACUCCAUAUUCUGCUUUGUAUGUUAAUGUAAUUAUAUCUCCAUUGCGUGUGGGUGUAGUUCUUUUGAGUUAUAUAUUUCUCCCUUGGCAGUUACCUAUAUGUAACCUGGUGAUCCCUUAACAAUUUUACUAGAUUCUGACCCG
RNAcentral lists this long non-coding RNA (308 nucleotides) under Brassica rapa (field mustard). Its description in RNAcentral is "long non-coding RNA (BRAP_LNC006130)". Lineage: Eukaryota; Viridiplantae; Streptophyta; Magnoliopsida; Brassicales; Brassicaceae. The record is from RNAcentral.